Molecule: unclassified non-coding RNA, 368 nt
Filed under: Hevea brasiliensis (rubber tree)
Lineage: Eukaryota; Viridiplantae; Streptophyta; Magnoliopsida; Malpighiales; Euphorbiaceae
Source: RNAcentral
AGCAAGUAUGAUCUGGCAUCAGGGAUGUCUUGGGUUCUUGUCUGAAUGGUGUAUUUGAUUCGCUGUGCUUCUGAGAAUAAAUCUGCCUUCUCUCUUGCCAUUUUCAUGACCUUAGCGUAUUGAGCUACAGCAGCAGGAUCAUCUGGAUCAAUUGUGAUCUUCUCUUUUCGGAAAACAUCCAAUGCUGUCUCAAACUUCUUUUUCACUUCCAAAAAUAUGUUCUUCAGCAUUUCAUCUCCCUUCAGAGCAGGCCGAGCAGCCUCUUUUGCAAAGUGACGAACAGGAAUAGCAUGCCCCUGGUGUAAGAUACUUUGACUGCCAAGCACCUGGUUGGAUUUGGACAAGAGACGAGAAGAGAGAGCCAUGGU